Molecule: ribosomal RNA, 231 nt
Filed under: uncultured bacterium
Lineage: Bacteria
Description: partial 16S ribosomal RNA
Rfam family: Bacterial small subunit ribosomal RNA
Source: RNAcentral
UGAGCAACCUGCCCUUAGCUUUGGGAUAACCCUCGGAAACGGGGGCUAAUACCGAAUGUUCACUGCCGGGCGCAUGUUGGGUGGUGGAAAGUUUUUCGGCUGGGGAUGGGCUCGCGGCCUAUCAGCUUGUUGGUGGGGUGAUGGCCUACCAAGGCGAUGACGGGUAGCCGGCCUGAGAGGGCGACCGGCCACACUGGGACUGAGACACGGCCCAGACUCCUACGGGAGGCA